This 64-nucleotide transfer RNA is filed under the name Pselaphinae sp. 4 EF-2015. Its description in RNAcentral is "tRNA-Arg". Lineage: Eukaryota; Metazoa; Arthropoda; Insecta; Coleoptera; Staphylinidae. The record is from RNAcentral.
AAAUAAGAAAUAAUUUAUUAUAUUUAGUUUCGACCUAAAAUUUUGGUUUUAUAACCCUUAUUUU